Oncorhynchus tshawytscha (Chinook salmon) is the source of this 4529-nucleotide long non-coding RNA. The record is from Ensembl. Lineage: Eukaryota; Metazoa; Chordata; Actinopteri; Salmoniformes; Salmonidae.
UGGCCUACGACAUGCGCCAGCCAGCUAGUCCAUGUUAUUGAAGCAAGAUACAUCAAAUAAUCUAUCUUCUCUGAGGUUUAUUGGCAGACCACAGUCAUCAGGUGUAUUGCCACCACCUGCUGGUUAGUAAAAAAUACCCCAAAAACAAAAUAUGUUCUUGAUAAACAAAAUCAUACUAAUCCCCCCUCCAAAAGAAUAUAUAGAAAUACAUAAACAAAACAAAAUCAAAUCAAAUUUUAUUUGUCACAUGCACAAAAUACAACUAGCGUAGACCUUACAGUGAAAUGCUUACUGAGAAGUAACUAACCAACAAUGCAGUUUUAAAAAAAACUGAUAAGAAUAAGAAAUAACAAGUAAUUAAGAAUAAGAAUAAGAAAUAUUAAGAAUAAGAAAUAACAAGUAAUUAAAGAGCAGCAGUAAAAUAAUAGCGAGACUAUAUGCAGGGGGGUACCGGUACAGGGUCAAUGUGGAGACUAUAUACAGGGGGUACCGGUACAGGGUCAAUGUGGAGACUAUAUACAGGGGGUACCGGUACAGGGUCAAUGUGGAGACUAUAUACAGGGGGUACCGGUACAGAGUCAAUGUGGAGACUAUAUACAGGGGGUACCUGUACAGAGUCAAUGUGGAGACUAUAUACAGGGGGUACCGGUACAGAGUCAAUGUGGAGACUAUAUACAGGGGGUACCGGUACAGAGUCAAUGUGGAGACUAUAUACAGGGGGUACCGGUACAGAGUCAAUGUGGAGGCUAUGUACAGGGGGUACCGGUACAGGGUCAAUGUGCGGGGGCACCGGUUAGUCGAGGUAAUUGAGGUAAUAUAUACAUGUAGGCAGAGUUAUUAAAGUGACUAUGCAUAGAUGAUAAUAACAGAGAGUAGCAGCAGUGUAGAAGAGGGGGGGGGAUGCAAAUUGUCUGGGUAGCCAUUUGAUUAGAUGUUCAGGAGUCUUAUGGCUUGGGGUUAGAAGCUGUUUAGAAGCCUCUUGAACCUAGACUUUGGGCUCCAGUACUGCUUGAUAUUAACCAAAUUCACGGUACUACCCUGAAUUUAAUUAUUUUAAAAAACUGUUCUCCUUCAGUUGGAUUUAAAUGUCUAUUCAGAUCCCCACAUAGGCUCAGGAACCUGGGAGGGGGAACCUCUUCAUUCAGUACUCCCUGUAACAUUUUGGCUGUAAAGCCUUGGAGAUCCAGAAAUCUAUUUGCGCCUUCACAGUGAUGUCUAGCUUCUUAUAUUUUUUAUUUGUUUGUCUAGUGCAAUUUAUCACUUGCGCUAUAAAAGCGACAAAGUCCACCUUCUUCAAUAUUGGUGUGUCGGGAUCCUUCUCCUAUGUGGUUUUCACAGCAGACUGUGGGACAUCCACUACCAUCUCCUCUCUGCUCACUCCUAUGUCAACUGCCUCCAUAUAGGAGACCUGCUGGAUAGCCCUGGUCCUAGCUACUGCGACCCCCUUCAUCCUUACAGGGCAUUCUGGGAACUCGGGAACAUGAUUCCCAUCACAGUUACAACAACAUGCUUCAUCUGACUCUUCAACUACGACAUAGUUAUUCCUUCGACAUUCACUUGACCAAACUUUUUACAAUUGUAACACUGCAGCGACUUCUGUACAUACAGUCUCACCUCAUAUCUCACAUACCCAAGUUUUAUGUCAAUUGUGAAAACACACUUCAUCAAACGACAGUAAAACGGAUAGGCUUUGCUCCUGCUUUCCGUCUAUCAUUCGAUUCAAGCCAAUCAUUUUCCAGUCUUGCGACAGCAGUGCGAACCGCGACACAUUGAAGCGUAUGAUUGGUCUAGUAAUGUAAGGGAUCAAGGGGAUUGGAUGCGUGUUUUAAAGAAACGCCCCUCUAGAUUAGAGUGGAGCUGAACUGCGAGAGGAAGCAUUCUUCUUUGUGUGUGUGUGUGUGUGUGUGUGUGUGUGUGUGUGUGUGUGUGUGUGUGAUCAUCUGAGUGUGUGUGUUCAUCUGUGUAAAAAAACAACAGCAUCAUGGUAGUGCUGUUAUAUAUACAAUGUAACUUGUCAACAAAAUGAGGUUGCUGUUUCUCCCGUCCCUAUGCAGAAUGCAGCCUUUUGACAGCAUGUACUAAAAUCAAUUCAAUCUACACCUGCAUUAGUCCCCUCGUUUUGGUGUUUGGCAUUUCGGCUGUGACAACGAAAAGGCAGCAGACAGACCUACAGUAUGUUUUAGCAGGGAAGUUUGGUAGGGUGGUAUCUAUGAAAAACAAUGUGUCAAACAGAUUGGGAACCAAAAAGUGUAAGUUUGAUUCUAGAGGACGGACAAUGAAUAUAAAAUAAUUUGGUUAGGGUGUAGGGGCAGAUUUACAUUCUCUCGUCUUCAGGAGAUUUUAUUAUCUAUUUACUUUACUUAGUCUGAUCAGUGGAACAAUUCUCAUUAUUAACAAUGGGCUAAAAUAUAGGGUUAUUACCUUGCUUCUCAGCAAAAACACUACUGUUAUUCUCCACACUGAUUUUAAGUUCUUCCCAGUUCUGCCAGUGUUAUUGUAUAUUUUAAAUCUGAUAUGCCUAAUUGUGACUUUGAAAAUGAAUGAUGUGAGGCUGUGUAUGUUUGCAGCCGUUCAUUGACAGUUUUGAAUAAGUCAUACAAAUAAGUGCUGGAUAUUAAAUCAGGAGGUGAAAAUAGUGCCCCCUACCCUAAUGAAGUUAACCUCCUGAAGUGUGAAUGGGCGAAACAGGAGGCAAAAAGUACCUGGGUUACCAGCUGGGUAAAGGUGAAGUUCGGCCUCAGAUGGACAGAGUGGAGUCCAUCAUGAACAGCCCUCAACCCAGAACCAAGACACAGGUGAAGUCCUUCCUAGGUCUGGUAGGUUGGUACCGGAGAUUCAUUCUGCAGUUCUCGACCAUCGCUGUCCCUCUAACCAACCUCACUUCAAAGGUGGCCAGCAACCCUGUGAAGUGGACUGAGGAGUGUGAGGAAGCAUUCAUGAUGCUGAAAAAACGACUGUGCUCAUUCCCUGUUCUGCAGACCCCGGAUUUGCUGAAGAGAUUUCUCGUGCAGGUGGACACUUCGGCUGUGGGAAUUGGAGCUGUACUGGCCCAAGGGGAGCCAGGGGAAGAGCUUCCCGUGCUGUACCUGAGUCGAAAGCUGUUGCCCAGGGAAACCAGGUAUUCAACAAUCGAGAAGGAGUGCCUGGCUAUAAAGUGGGCCCUAGAUAGCCUCCGUUACUAACUUCUUGGGAGGGAAUUUGACCUGCACACGGACCACAGAGCCCUGACCUGGAUCCAGACCAUGAAGGACCGGAAUUCUCGUGUGACCAGGUGGUAUCUGGAGCUCCAACCUUUCAGGUUCUGUGUCCGUCACAAGGCAGGAAAAAAGGAACGUCACGGCGGACUACCUAUCCUAUCCCGGCUCCCGAACCUGGUCGCUUCAGGAGAGGAGGAAGGUAAUGUGAUCCAGCUUGGAAAACACAGUGGCACUCUGGAGCGGCGCGAAGGUCGAGGAGAUGAGUGGUAGCGUGGUAACGGUUCUUAACUGUAACGUCAUUGGUCAAUGCACGCGCACAAGGUCUUAUCCCUUUCCUCCAAGAAGAAGAACCGUGUGCUGGCGGGAGAGGAAUAGGGACGGAUAAAUCCAGCAGCUAAGGUGAUAUGUAGGUAUCCAUAGCCUUGGUUUCCGGUCCCGACAGAGAGUACAGACGUCCCCGGGGCAGUGUGAUGCUAGAGAGAAGGUCAAUCCCGCAGUCAUAGGGUCGGUGCGGCGGAAGCGACAUGGCCCGGACCUUGCUGAACACCUCCCGGAGGUCCUGGUACUCCAUGGAAAUGGUGGAGAGAUCCGAGGCACCUUCCGAGCCCCCGUGAAGACGUCCUGGGGCAGGUUGUCAUGACUUCAGGAAAUGGGCGUGGCAGAACGGACUCCAGCUCAUGAUGGCACCAGUAGACCAGUUGAUGAAUGGAUUGUGUCGUUGGAGCCAGAAGAAUCCCAGGGGGGACUUGAUGAGCAGGAACUGGAUAGCCUCGCUGUGGUUCCCUGACACCCGUAGCUGGAUGGGAGUGGUGUUGUGUGUGACUCGGCCUGUAGAGCGCCUGUCUAGCUCUCUAACUUUGGCAGCCUAGCUAACUUCUAAGACCUCUAAGACCUCUAUGGAUAAAUACUAUCUCCUCUAAGGAUAAAUACUAUCUCCUCUAUGGAUAACUACUAUCUCCUCUAUGGAUAACUACUAUCUCCUCUAUGGAUAACUACUAUCUCCUCUAUGGAUAACUACCAUCUCCUCUAUGGAUAACUACCAUCUCCUCUAUGGAGAACUACUAUCUCCUCUAUGGAUAACUACUAUCUCCUAUAUGGAUAAAUACUAUCUCCUAUAUGGAUAAAUACUAUCUCCUCUAUGGAUAAAUACUAGUGGUCAGAUUAAGUGCUUGACAACCUUUGUCACUCUUUUCUCUCUGUGUCUCUAUUUAUCGUCAGACUAACACAGAUGCUACCGAUGCCACUGCCAGUAAAAUCAAAACAGACAUCAUAUCACUUAAAACAUCACGUUCCACACGUGUGUGUGUGUGUGUGUGUGUGUGUGUGUGUGUG